Molecule: ribosomal RNA, 253 nt
Filed under: uncultured bacterium
Lineage: Bacteria
Description: partial 16S ribosomal RNA
Rfam family: Bacterial small subunit ribosomal RNA
Source: RNAcentral
UACGUAGGUGGCAAGCGUUGUCCGGAUUUACUGGGCGUAAAGGGAGCGUAGGUGGAUAUUUAAGUGGGAUGUGAAAUACUCGGGCUUAACCUGGGUGCUGCAUUUCAAACUGGAUAUCUAGAGUGCAGGAGAGGAAAGUAGAAUUCCUAGUGUAGCGGUGAAAUGCGUAGAGAUUAGGAAGAAUACCAGUGGCGAAGGCGACUUUCUGGACUGUAACUGACACUGAGGCUCGAAAGCGUGGGGAGCAAACAGG